RNAcentral lists this ribosomal RNA (440 nucleotides) under uncultured bacterium. Its description in RNAcentral is "bacterial SSU rRNA". It matches the Rfam family "Bacterial small subunit ribosomal RNA", at positions 338 to 790 of the family's 1533-position model. The record is from RNAcentral.
CCUACGGGUGGCAGCAGUGGGGAAUAUUGGACAAUGGGCGAAAGCCUGAUCCAGCAACGCCGCGUGAGGGAUGACGGCCUUCGGGUUGUAAACCUCUUUCAGCAGGGACGAAGCGCAAGUGACGGUACCUGCAGAAGAAGCACCGGCCAACUACGUGCCAGCAGCCGCGGUAAUACGUAGGGUGCGAGCGUUGUCCGGAAUUAUUGGGCGUAAAGGGCUCGUAGGCGGUCUGUUGCGUCGGAAGUGAAAACUCAGGGCUUAACCCUGAGCCUGCUUCCGAUACGGGCAGACUAGAGGUAUGCAGGGGAGAACGGAAUUCCUGGUGUAGCGGUGAAAUGCGCAGAUAUCAGGAGGAACACCGGUGGCGAAGGCGGUUCUCUGGGCAUUACCUGACGCUGAGGAGCGAAAGUGUGGGGAGCGAACAGGAUUAGAUACCCCAG